AACCUUCAGCAACGGAUCACUUGGUUCCGGCAUCGAUGAAGAACGCAGCGAAAUGCGAUAAGUAAUGUGAAUUGCAGAAUUCCGUGAAUCAUCGAAUCUUUGAACGCAUAUUGCGCCCUCUGGUAUUCCGGAGGGCAUGCCUGUCCGAGCGUCAUUACCACCUUCAAGCGCAGCUUGGUUGUUGAGCCAAUUGUUCUUUUAAUGGACAGGCUUGAAAUGCAGUGGCGAUGUCGAGUCUUGAUGCCCGAGCGUAUGGAGCUCUGUCACACGCUUUAGUGGCUCAGCCGGCAUUCUGUCGAUUGUUUAUUUGGGCCUAAAAACCUAAGAUUUAACCUCGGAUCAGGUAAGGAUACCCGCUGAACUUAAGCAUAUCAAUAAGCGGAGGCU
This 387-nucleotide unclassified non-coding RNA is filed under the name uncultured Eurotiomycetes. Its description in RNAcentral is "sequence contains ITS2". The stretch from base 1 to 154 matches the Rfam family "5.8S ribosomal RNA". Lineage: Eukaryota; Fungi; Ascomycota; Eurotiomycetes. The record is from RNAcentral.